CAUACCUCACUCAGCACACCGUCUGUCACCCAAACAAGCAUCCAAUGAGGAAAAUGAACACACUGCUCCUCAUGAGCUUAUCUCUUCUCUACCUCAAAGAGGAUGAAAACUGGAUAACUAGCUGGCAAGAGUGGGAGAUCAACUUUACACAACAUUCUUUUUCUAUUACUUACUAUUUAGUCACAUCAAUAUGCUACCUAUUUUUAAAUAAUGCAUUUUUAAAAUGUUGAAAUUGGAAAUACUCAGAGGUUAAAGAUCAAAGAGACAAUUAUUCAAAGAGCAUUAUCAGUGUACUGAGCAGCCUGCUCCCAACUCCCAUGAGAGAGAGAAGCCUCAUGAAAGUUGCUUCAGGGAGAAACUGAUAGUGUCCUCUGGUGUUUGGAAGGCACAGUGAGCUUGAGGAACCUAAAGGUGCGAGGGAGCCUGAGGCUACAGCCCUGAAAUGGUGGAACUGAAAGACAGCUGAGCUGCAUUACAUGCAAGCAGGGAGGAUGUGCAUACAUUCCCCUGGAUCUGAUCUGGGCCAUGCCAUAUCAAGCAAGUCAGGCUUGAGCUGUUUAAAGUUCUAUCCAAGAGCGCUGUCUGGAGUAACAAGGUAUUCUAGCAAGGUGUGGGACACUAGCUUCUUACAGCUGAGAGAAAAUAUAACCACCAGCUGCGGGAAAUACACCACUCACGAUACAGCAGUGGACUUGAAUAUUUUUGUGGGGGAAAUCCUGAAGAACCCGCAAAUGUUCUCCUGACUCAAGGAACUCAAGAAAAUGAGUUCUCCUGGCUCAAGAAAAUGAGUCAGCUUUUAUUAAACACAAAGUCCAAGAGAUUGGGUUUUAAGUAACUACCAUAGACAAAAGAUGAUGGCACCAGAGCCAGUCCGAUGACAUCUUUCCUGUCCUUUACCUGUCCCCCUCCCUCUCACCAACUGAAAUGGGUCAGAAACUAUCACUCAUAAGCCAGAGGUGAGUAGGAGGAAACCAAGAAGAGAAAUAGAGAAAAAGUCAAAGC
Molecule: small RNA, 1002 nt
Filed under: Pongo abelii (Sumatran orangutan)
Lineage: Eukaryota; Metazoa; Chordata; Mammalia; Primates; Hominidae
Description: processed transcript
Source: RNAcentral